This 508-nucleotide ribosomal RNA is filed under the name Euscyrtus aff. bipunctatus ICCM-2015. RNAcentral describes it as "eukaryotic LSU rRNA". It matches the Rfam family "Eukaryotic large subunit ribosomal RNA", at positions 1457 to 1923 of the family's 3401-position model. Lineage: Eukaryota; Metazoa; Arthropoda; Insecta; Orthoptera; Gryllidae. The record is from RNAcentral.
GUAGUAGCAAUUACUCUAGCGAGACCCUUGAGGACUGAUGCGGAGAAGGGUUUCGUGUGAACAGCAGUUGCACACGAGUCAGUCGAUCCUAAGCCCUAGGAGAAAUCUGAAGUAUGUGGGUCGUCGUGCGGCCUCGAGGGCGAAAGGGAAUCCGGUUCCUAUUCCGGAACCCGGUCGCGGAACCGUCUCACGUCGGGCCCCCGGCUACGGCCGGAAGCUCGUCGGGGUAACCCAAACAGACCCGGAGAAGCCGUCGGGAGGUCGGGGAAGAGUUUUCUUUUCUGUUUGAGCGCUCGGGUUCCCUGGAAUUGUCUAGCACAGAGAGAGGGAAUGGAGCGCGUAGAGCACCGCAGUUGCGGCGGUGUCCCGACAUGCCCCUCGGACCUUGAAAAUCCGGGGACGGGCCACGUGGAGGUGUCGCGCCGGUUCGUACCCAUAUCCGCAGCAGGUCUCCAAGGUCAAUASCCUCUAGUCGGUAGAUCAAUGUAGGUAAGGGAAGUCGGCAAAU